Molecule: ribosomal RNA, 253 nt
Filed under: uncultured bacterium
Lineage: Bacteria
Description: partial 16S ribosomal RNA
Rfam family: Bacterial small subunit ribosomal RNA
Source: RNAcentral
UACGAAGGGGGCGAGCGUUGUUCGGAAUUACUGGGCGUAAAGGGCGCGCAGGCGGCUCUGAAAGUCAGAUGUGAAAGCCCCGGGCUUAACCUGGGAACUGCAUUUGAUACUCUAGAGCUUGAGUACGGGAGAGGAGAGUGGAAUUCCCAGUGUAGAGGUGAAAUUCGUAGAUAUUGGGAAGAACACCGGUGGCGAAGGCGGCUCUCUGGACCGUAACUGACGCUGAGGCGCGAAAGCUAGGGGAGCAAACAGG